This 1449-nucleotide unclassified non-coding RNA is filed under the name Hevea brasiliensis (rubber tree). Lineage: Eukaryota; Viridiplantae; Streptophyta; Magnoliopsida; Malpighiales; Euphorbiaceae. The record is from RNAcentral.
GGCUAAACGAGGCCCUAGACGGCCGUGAUGAAGAAAUAGACAUGUUUAAGAAGCAGUUGAUGAAAGGUGAAGAGCUAGUCCGCAAGUGUUCCAAGAUUAAACGCUGCGACCCUUUGAAGAAGUGGAGUUACUCCAGGAAACUAACGAAGUUGGAUAAUACACUAGUGAAGUUCUGCCAGAUACACGGUUUAAUUCAGGUGGUUAGGGAUAGUAAACAGAUUCUGGUUAAGGUUAAUGAAAAUGGCAAGAAAUUGGAGGAGAUCCACUCGAUGAUGAGAGAUGUUUCAUUGACGAGAUCCGGGAGUAGUAUUGGAUUUACAAAUUCUAGUGCUUCUUCAGGGUGGAUGAAUGGUUCUAGUUUUGGGUUUUCAGGAUCGUCUGAUGUGCCUCAAGUUUCUGAUUCUAUGGUUGGAUUUGAUGUCCCACUUCAUGAACUGAAACAGAAAUUGAAGGUGCUUCAGGAGAAAGAUCAAGUGCUGGUUCUUUCUGCUCCUCCUGGCUGUGGAAAAACUACUUUGGCAGCAAGGCUUUGUCAAGAGGAUGAUAUCAAAGCCAUAUACAGGGACAACAUCUUUUUUGUCACUGUUACCAAAACACCGAACAUCAAACGCAUUGUUGGGGAAAUCUUUGAGAAGAAAGGCUUCAGGGUUCCAGAGUUUGCUAAUGAGCAUGAUGCAAUCUGCAAACUCAACAGCCUCCUUGGGGGAAUCACUCCUCAACCAAUAUUACUGGUGCUGGAUGAUGUUUGGUCUGAAUCAGAGUUCAUCAUCGAUCAUCUUAAAUUACAGAUAUCUGAUUUUAAGAUUUUGGUCACUUCGAGAUAUGUAUUCCCGAAAUUUGAUACAUAUAAAUUAAAGCUUUUGAGCGAGGAGGACGCAAAGGAUCUCUUCUGCAUUUCAGCUUUUAAAGAUGGCAGCCCUGAUGUGCGGCUUAAUCUUGUUCAUAAGGUGGUGAGAAGUUGUGGCGGUUUUCCACUGGCUCUUAGAGUUGUAGGUCGUUCAUUGUGUGGCCAGUCUGAGGUGAUAUGGUUUAACAGAGUAAUGAUGCAGUCUAAAAGGCAAAUUCUCUUCCCUACUGAGAAUGAUCUGCUUCGUUCUUUGCAAGCCAGCAUUGAUGCCUUGGAUGAAAAAGUUCUUUACAGCAGAGAAACAACUACAUUAAGAGACUGCUACCUGGAUUUAGGAUCAUUUCCUGAAGAUCAAAGAAUUCAUCCUGCUGCUCUUUUGGAUAUGUGGGUGGAACGAUACAAUCUAGAUGAAGAUGGCAUCACUGCAAUGGCCAUCUUCCUUGAACUUUCUUCACAAAACCUGGUUAAUCUCGCCCUUGCAAGACAGGAUGCACGAGCAGUUCUUGGCUUACAUAACUUGCAUUACAUACAGCAGCAUGAUAUGCUGAGAGAACUGGUCAUACACCAGUGUGAUGAGAAGCCGGUAGAAAAGAGAAUGAGAA